GCUAUUAGAGAGGAUUGAUUUUAUGGCCAAGUGCUUCAUAUUUAAUGACUCUAACGACCGAUACCAGUCUACGUUGAAACUAGUUAUAGAUUCAGUUAUCGAUUGAACGAUUACUCAUAGUGAUGCGGUGAAUUGCAGUACUUUCUGUUUCAACAUACGGCGUUACGAGGAUAACAGUGUGAGAGGGAAAUAGAUUUAACCGAAUAAACAUUAGCUGCAGUAGUUUGAAAGUUCACGGCGGAAAGCAUAUCUUAUAGGUUCUGUUCCUCAUUCCGAGUCAUAGACAUUGUAUGGAUGUUCUUCAGAAAAACGUCUUUUAGUUUUUCAUAAACACAAAACUUACCUUCUGUAAAAUAUUACUCAUCAAAAUACAUUGCCAUACUAACAGUCACUGUCAAUACUUCUUCAAUUAUCGUUAUAUCGGCUUGGAAAGGAUUAGUUAUAAAGUCAAAGAAAAUAUUUUAGUUUACAUAAGUUGAGUAGUAAAAUGGGACAAACAAAUUCAUCACUUGACUUUAGAAAGAAAAUUUUCUGCGAAAUCCAUGUUUCAAAAGAAGCAUCUGCUUUCUGCUUCACACACAAAACUCUUAUAUGUAUGUCUUGCAUAGCGGAAAAGGUGCACUUUAAUUUGGAUUGUAAAGUUCAAGAAAUGACCGGAAUGAAUUAUCAAAUGAAAGAAUGCUUUGGCAUGAUGCAAGAAAUCGCUAAGACUAAAAAGACGAUGACAGUGAAUCAGAGAGAAAGAAAGAUGAAAGAAGAAAUUGAAGCUGCAUACACAAAAGCACUGGACAAUCUAGAGAAACUAAGACUGGCACAUUAUGAAGUAGCAAGUGAGGAAAUUGCAAACAUGAAAAAACGUGAAGAUGAAACAUUUAAUAAGCUUUAUAAAGCAAUUGAUUACUUCAGUGUUGGCAAAGAAAAAGAAGCGGAAAGCUUGAAGAAGGAGAUAUUGAUGGAACAUUUCGGUUGUGAAUUAGUUUUUCAAAAAGUAAAACCAGCCUUUACUGAGCUAGAGAGGUCUCUGAAAAAUGUGAAAGAAAUGCGUACCAGAUACAGGGAAAGCAUCUCCCACGGCAACCAGGUGGUGGAUUCUGAUUUUGUUUAUGAAUAGAAACGACAGUAGGUUAACGAAGAUAUUUGUUCUAUGGCAGCUAGCCUUGCUCUAGCAACGUAAAUAUAUAUGUAAAUAUAAGUAGACAAUGAAAUACCUGCACAUUUCAGCACAAUAAAAAACUUUUUUGUGGGGGAAAAGUAUCUACUGUCUAGAUUUGUACAGGCCACUAAAUAUUGACACAAAAUAUUAGAUCUGAGACAGUUUUGACAUCUCAAAAUGGUGUCAAUUAUAUAAAUAAAUAUGUUUAACUUGAUGCAAGCUUUUUACGGUAUUAAGAUUUAUUUUUUCGAUAUCAUAAUUGAUACGCAGUGAAUUCCAUGCAUAUGCAUUUAUUUUUGCAACAAAACUUUUCAUAUGUGAUAGCAGACAUGUGUAGGAUUCUUCAAAUACCUUCGCGACACGUUAUCCUACAUAUAAUUAACAAAAACCGCACGGUAAUGUGAGCACAACACACAGUUUAGCAAAAGAAAAGUAUUACUUUGAGUAGUUAAAUGUAUUAAAUAUAAUCAAAAUUAUUUAUUACUGUAACAGUCUUAUUUGUACUAUCAUGCUUUAAAUAUAUAGAUAUGUAAAGAUAUUUCAAUUGUAGUUAUUCCUGUAAGAAAUGUAAACAAUAUAAUAAAGUUAUAAUAGUACAUGUAAAAUGUCAUGUGUCUGUUUUAUGAAAACAUGCUUAAAAAUGUCAAGAAGAAGACUAUCCGAUUAACAUUUAUAAAUAGACGAAAAGAGUAAGGACUGUUGAAUUAAUUUUUUGAUUUAAGUUAGAUGGUCUAAAGUGUUCUAACAGCCACGAAUGUAUUGAAUCAUUCUUGAAUUUUGAGAUUUUUCUCCAAAACUGCACAUAGUGCUUUAAUGACUGAGUGGUUGGGCUCGGCUGAAUGUAACUACCAAACAAAUAUUUCCUUCCCGCAAAUUUAGCUUUUAGUAUUGACAUAUUGCAGAUAAUUAAUUGAAAAUGAAAGUAAUUCAACACAAACAUGGCUGUACACGACAUUUUAUUGAUUUCGACUGUUGAAAAAACUUUGAAAAAAUGGAACUCUCAGAUCCAGAAGCAAAAAUUAUGUAGCGUUUCGAAUAGCUUUCGCUUUAGACAAUUUAAGGAGAAAAAAUGGGUAUAAAAAUCAUGGUAGCAAACUAUGGUGUAAAUUUUCACGAAUUAAUAUUUUCUAUAUUAGGCCUCAAUUAACCUUGUCCUUUGAUUAUAAAAUAACAUUUAUGUUAUGGAAAUACAAGAUUUGUUUAUUCAAAAGUUAAAAAGGAAGAUAUGAAUAAAUUAUAAUCUACAAGAUGUAGAGUAUUUUUGCGUAAUCACUUUUGUCUUUCAGAUAAUAUAUAAUAAAAUAAUACCAAAAGAAUAUAUUUCAUUGUCCCAUAUAUAUCUAAGUAAGAAACAUUAAAUAUUUCUUGAUAUCAACAUUUUUAUAACGAGAUGUUGCAGAUCGCCAACUCAAAUUCUGU
Mercenaria mercenaria is the source of this 2572-nucleotide long non-coding RNA. RefSeq lists it as uncharacterized. The transcript is spliced from 3 exons. Lineage: Eukaryota; Metazoa; Mollusca; Bivalvia; Venerida; Veneridae. The record is from RefSeq and is a predicted model, not a curated record.